ACUUCCGCCUACUUGAACCGGAAAUCAGGAACCACGCGGCGGAGUGUCUUUUCUGUAGGAAUUACCGAUUUUUAUUUUUCUUUCUCACACUCUGUCAGUUUUACAACGUGGAGGAGAACUAACAGAACGUCAGUAAAAGCGAAGGCGGAGGAAAUAAAGAGCCCUCUGGAACUGCGGGAUAACGGAACCUUAGGAGAUUGGGUUGGAAACUUUGUAGGAAGGAAAGGAAAAUGCACUUGCCGGCACGUGUUAUUAGACGUUAAGUGCUACGCCGGGCUUGAGCUGAGUCGGACAAGCGCCCUGAGGAAGAGUGUUUGCUCGUGAGAAGUGAUGGGCUAUUGGGCUUAGCCUCUCCUCUCCUUCCUUAGGGGCUUCUCGAAGAGAGAGGGCAGGGCUGGAAGGAUGGGGCGGUGGCUACCAAGAAGGGGUACACUGUAGGUUUUUUUCCCAGAGUGCUGGCCUUUGCUUUGGGCUUCUGCCGCUAUUUAGUGAUCUCGCUUGGAAGGAGACAGCCAACUUUUGAGAAAGGUUUGAGUAAGAGCUGAACAUCCGCCGAGAGCUAAACGAGAUGGAGCGACCUCUGGAAAACGUUUCCAGCAAUCUUGGUAGGACAGUGUUAACAAUUCCGGGUUCCAAAAUUAGACUUCAUUAUGAUCCUUGCUGUCACCACUACUGUUUUCUAAGUGGCACUGGGAAAAGCCGUAACCGCUCCUACUCCCCUGACCGAUGAGAUCCACUCAGACUGCUUUGAACAAUACAGGCACACAGUGGGGAAACAUAUUUUAGAUAGAUGCCCAACAUCCAUGCAAGGCAACAGAGAAAUGAAGCGCCUCUUUGUGGGUGGACUUGGACAGGGCAUUUCUGAGACAGACCUACAAAAUCAGUUCGGCAGAUUUGGAGAAGUUUCUGACGUGGAGAUCAUCACUCGGAAAGAUGACCAAGGAAAUUCACAGAAAGUCUUUGCGUAUGUUAACAUUCAAAUAACAGAAGCGGACCUGAAGAAAUGUAUGUCUAUUUUAAACAAAACAAAAUGGAAAGGUGGAACACUACAAAUUCAGCUAGCAAAAGAAAGCUUUUUACACAGAUUGGCCCAAGAAAGAGAAGACGCAAAAGCAAAGAAAGAAAAAUCAACAACAGGCAACCCCACCUUAUUGGAAAAGAUGGGAGCAGUGGAUUUCCAUAUGAAGGCUGUGCCUGGAACAGAAGUACCAGGGCAUAAAAAUUGGGUUGUGAGUAAGUUUGGAAGAGUCUUACCUGUUCUUCACCUUAAGAAUCAACAAAAACAUAAAAUUAUGAAAUAUGAUCCAUCAAAAUACUGCCACAAUAUAAAAAAGAUUCCAGAGAAUUUGACAGAAACCACUCCCAUAGCUGAACUCACUUGGGAAUUGGAAGGAGGCAAUGACCCUAUGAGUAAGAAACGUCGAGGAGAGUUCUCUGACUUUCAUAUCCCUCCUCAAAAGGUCAAGAAAGUGCAGAAGAGCAAUGAUCCCAUGGAGUCCAAGGUUUCUAAUAUUGGUCUAAGGACUAAUCAGGUAAUGGAGAAGAACAAAUCAACACAUCCUGUGACUGCACACGGGACAGCCCCUAGUACUGUUAAUCCUUCUAAACAACUCCUUGUGUCCAGUUCUGGUACUCAGAAACCUAAACAUGUGGUUUUUCAUAAUUCUGACUUUGAAAUUAUCUGGAAUAAAAGUAGCAUGUCUGAUGAUGAUGUUGACUCGGAAGAUGAAUUAAAAAUGAUGAUUGCAAAAGAGGAAAACAGAGAGAAACCUGGGCAUUCCUCAGUCAAUGAGUCUGAACAUGAUACUUUUGAAGUUGUUAGGGAUGAUUUCAAAUCAAAUAUUCACAAGCUUUCUUCUUCAGUAAGCCUAGGAAAUAACCAUGAAUAUGAUUCAAGUGAUACAGAUGAAAUUAUUGCAAUGAAAACAAAAAAUGCUAAGGUCAAAAACAGUGCAGAAUCUUCACAACCAGAAAGGACUGUAAGCAAGAAAAGUUCUUUUCAAAAGAUAGAACCUUCUAAUGACUGUAUAAAAGUACAAGGAAUUAACAGCAACAAAGAAUCAGCCCUGUGUCAUGGAGUAAAGUUUGUAAAUCCCAAAUUUCCACCUGACUCCAGUGGCAGUGACAGUGAAGAGUCCGAAGAAGAUGAAGAAUAUAAAGUCUUGAUGGAAAACUGUCCCCGUGUGAGUCUCACUUUGGCUGACUUGGAGCAGUUGGCUGGCAGUCAUCGGAAGUUUCCAGGAAAAGACAGUGAGACUAAUGGUCCACAAAAUGACAGUCACUGCAAAUUUGACACAACCUCCAAGAAUCCCAAGACUUCUGGUGACCUGUACAAUGGCAGACAACAGUGCAUUCUUCCUGAGGAGAUUGUGGCCUCCCUUUUAGAGGACGAGAAUACUUACAGCAAACAAAAAUCGGAAGAAGAUAUCUUAAAGCCAAAAUUCCAGGCCUUCAAGGGAAUAGGCUGUCUCUAUGCAAAGGAGUCAGUAGACAAAACUUUGAAAGAGAAUAUUGCCUUUAAUACUGGCGGUGGGCAUCACAGUUCCUUAAAACAUGAAGAUCACAAUAGAAGUUUGAUGGAAAAUGGAUCUAAGUGUGUUAAUGGCUCAUCAAGCAAACUGACUUCAUGCCAACCUGCAAAGAAGGUGAAUGACCCGAACCACAUUCAGCCUCCAAAAAGACAGUGUACUUUUGAGAACCAGAACCAUAAAGUAAUGUCCUCUACUAGUUGUGACAAGGGAAGUACAAAUCCUCUCCCAGGUCCGUUGCCAUUGAAAGCUAAAACAUCCCUGCAUCUUAGUGCCAACAGUCACAAGGUAGACUCUGAUGGAGACGCUUGCCAUUGGCCUGAAAGUAGAAAAGCUUUAGAGAAAGAGAGGACCAAUUUAAGCAACCUCGAAUCUCUUGAGAAAUCAUCAAAGGUGUCUCCCAGGGAAGACCCUCAGAAAAGCCCAGCUGGUUUCUCACUUUCUGAUAGUAAUGCAUCCUGUAUAAAUGCUAAGGAUAAACAAGCUGAAGACAACCAGAAGCGAUUGGCCGCCUUGGCAGCAUGGCAGAAAGCCAGGGAAGUACAGAAAAAACUGGUGCAUAGUGCCCUGGCAAAUUUGGAUGGUCAUCCAGAGGACAAAAAAACACACAUUGUCUUUGCUUCUGAUAAUGAAAGUGAAACGGAAGAGACAUCCACUCAGGAGCAAAGCUGUCCAGAAAAGGAGCUGAUGAAAGAAUCUGUGAGUAAAUCGCCUGGGAAGCUGUUUGACAGCAGUGAUGAUGAAGACUCAGAUUCCAAGGAGGACAGCACCAGGUUCAGCAUUAAACCUCAGUUUGAGGGCAGAGCUGGCCAGAAGCUUAUGGAUCUGCAGUCUCAGUUUGGAAGUGAUGAGAGAUUCCGCAUGGACUCUAGAUUUUUAGAGAGUGACAGUGAGGACGAAAAGAAAGAGCUAAAUGAAGAUAAAGUGAAUGAAGACGAGCUUGCUGCAGAAAAAAAGAAAACCCUGAAUGUUGUGCAAAGUGUUUUGAACAUCAAUGUGAACAACCCGACGAACAAAGGAUCAGUGGCUGCUAAGAAAUUUAAGGAUAUCGUACAUUAUGACCCAACAAAGCAUGACCAUGCCAUUUAUGAAAGAAAACAAGAAGAUAAAGAAAAAGAAAGUAAGGCAACACGGAAGAAGAAAAAGGAAGAAGCAGAGAAGCUGCCUGAGGUAUCCCAAGACAUGUAUUAUAACAUUGCUGCAGAUUUGAAAGAAAUAUUCCAAAGUAUGAGCAACACAGAUGAAAAGGAAGAAGAUGUGCCCAGGACUGAGGCUGGUGCUAGAGAGGGGACUGGAAAAAUCAGGAACGCCGAGACACUGGCAUGUGAGCCCGAGCAAACCACUGGCUUUACAUUCUCUUUUUUUGAUUCAGCCACUAAAGAUGAAAAGGAUGCCACCUAUAGAAUCGAACUAGUGAAACAUGGGAAGAUAGUCUGUCCAAAUGAUCCCCGAUUCCAAGACAGUAGUUCAGAAGAAGAAGAUAUUGCUGAAGAAGCAGAUCAUAGCAAGCCAAGCCCUGGAGAAGCGGUUCCUGAGAAUGAGGCCAUUAGAUUUUUCUUUUUCUCUGAGAAUGACGACAGACUUCGUGGUUCUAACUUAUUCUGGAGUGGUAUGGGAGGUAGUAUUAGCAGAAAUUCUUGGGAAGCCCGAACAAGUAGUCUCCUUUUGGAAUGUCGGAAGAAACAUAAAGAAGCCAAAAGGAAGGUGAAAGCAAAUUAACCAUUGUCAGCUUUGGUUUUGGAAUUGAAUGUGCAGACUGCUCACCAGCCCUUGAAAGAAAUUAACCCAGAAAAGCAUUCACUGACAAAGAAGAUAUUUCAUAGUAGAAAAAUAUUCAAACCUGGAUGAUAAUGUAUCAUUCUGAUGACUAUUUCUGUGGAAUUCGUAUACAUUCCCUCCUUGAUGACUGUGUUAAAAUUAACUGAGUCAGUUGUGACACACAGUAUAGCCUCAGCACUUUAGAAGGGGAAGUGGGAGGAUCAUUUGAGCCCAGAAUUUGAGAUCACACUGAGCAACACCCCACCUCAGAACAGCAUCCAUUCUUGUUCUUCACUCCUGACAGGAGGCUUACAUGAAACCUUGUUUAAUAAAUGGUUUGAUGUAUUUGUUUAAGUAUUUCUGACUAUGCUAAAUAUUCUAUACCUCUAAUUUAUCUUUUUAAACUCAAGUACAAAUUAACUUUGAGUUCUGUAUAUACAGAUGUAAGUUUCUGAUGUAAUUUCUGAAGACAAAAUAGAACUUUCUAAUAAAUGGUUCAUAAUAUUUGUGUUUAUUCCUAAUUAAAUACUCUUUACCUUCA
Molecule: RNA transcript, 4827 nt
Organism: Mus musculus (house mouse)
Lineage: Eukaryota; Metazoa; Chordata; Mammalia; Rodentia; Muridae
Gene: Nol8
Gene name: nucleolar protein 8
Exons: 17
Source: RefSeq, marked validated